CACGAUCGAACCCGAGGUCCCGGAGCCGCUCGCCUCGGUGCCUCGGGUAAGCCCGGGUCCUGGCUGCUGCGGCCGGACCACGGACGGCUCCCCCUGCUGGGAAAGGGGGGUAGGGCAAGGAGGGGCCGACGGGCCCGCAUCACCAACAACCCGCUCCCGCCUCGGGUCGGCUGCAGGGGCCCCCGCCUCGGGGCCACUCGUCCCGGCCGACGAAGAAGCGCCGUCCGUCCUCGCCCUCUUCCGAGGCUGGGGCACAGCACCCCCGGCCUCGGCCUCUCGCCUCCUCAGGCGAGAGAAAAGUGAUGUGUUGCUGGUCGGCAUGCGUGGAAUAUCUGAAAUCAA
This 342-nucleotide long non-coding RNA is filed under the name Phoenix dactylifera (date palm). RNAcentral describes it as "long non-coding RNA (PDAC_LNC022813)". Lineage: Eukaryota; Viridiplantae; Streptophyta; Magnoliopsida; Arecales; Arecaceae. The record is from RNAcentral.